CCCUUAGAUGUUCGGGGCCGCACGCGCGCUACACUGAAGGAAUCAGCACGUCUUUCUCCUUGUCCGAAAGGACUGGGUAACCCGCUGAACCUCCUUCGUGCUAGGGAUUGGGGCUUGUAAUUCUUCCCCAUGAACGAGGAAUUCCCAGUAAGCGCGAGUCAUAAGCUCGCGUUGAUUACGUCCCUGCCCUUUGUACACACCGCCCGUCGCUACUACCGAUUGGAUGGUUUAGUGAGAUCCCCGGAUUGGUCCCGGCGCGGCCUCUGGUCGUGCCGGAGUGCCGAAAAGAAUGUCGAACUUGAUCAUCUAGAGGUAGUAAAAGUCGUAACA
RNAcentral lists this ribosomal RNA (330 nucleotides) under uncultured eukaryote. RNAcentral's name for it is "partial 18S ribosomal RNA". It matches the Rfam family "Eukaryotic small subunit ribosomal RNA", at positions 1470 to 1796 of the family's 1831-position model. The record is from RNAcentral.